AACGUAGGAGGCGAGCGUUAUCCGGAUUUACUGGGUGUAAAGCGCAUGCAGGCGGUACAUUAAGUUGGGUGUGAAAGCUCCUGGCUCAACUGGGAGAGGUCGCUCAAGACUGAUGAACUGGAGCGUGGUAAGGGAAGGUGGAAUUCCGGGUGUAGUGGUGAAAUGCGUAGAUAUCCGGAGGAACACCAGUGGCGAAGGCGGCCUUCUGGACCACGACUGACGCUCAGAUGCGAAAGCUAGGGAAGCAAACGGG
RNAcentral lists this ribosomal RNA (253 nucleotides) under uncultured bacterium. RNAcentral's name for it is "partial 16S ribosomal RNA". It matches the Rfam family "Bacterial small subunit ribosomal RNA", at positions 524 to 776 of the family's 1533-position model. The record is from RNAcentral.